This 253-nucleotide ribosomal RNA is filed under the name uncultured bacterium. Its description in RNAcentral is "partial 16S ribosomal RNA". It matches the Rfam family "Bacterial small subunit ribosomal RNA", at positions 524 to 776 of the family's 1533-position model. The record is from RNAcentral.
UACGUAGGGGGCAAGCGUUGUCCGGAUUUAUUGGGCGUAAAGAGCGUGUAGGCGGCCAUACAGGUCAGCUGUGAAAACUCGAGGCUCAACCUCGAGACGUCGGUUGAAACCGUAUGGCUAGAGUCCGGAAGAGGAGAGUGGAAUUCCUGGUGUAGCGGUGAAAUGCGCAGAUAUCAGGAGGAACACCAAUGGCGAAGGCAGCUCGCUGGGACGUGACUGACGCUGAGACGCGAAAGCGUGGGGAGCAAACAGG